This is a long non-coding RNA of Canis lupus familiaris (dog), 5967 nucleotides long. RefSeq lists it as uncharacterized. Lineage: Eukaryota; Metazoa; Chordata; Mammalia; Carnivora; Canidae. The transcript is spliced from 3 exons. The record is from RefSeq and is a predicted model, not a curated record.
GGGAGUCUGCUUCUCCUGCUGCCCGUCCUCCAGCUCGUGCUCUCUCUCUCUCAAAUAAAUAAAUAUUAAAAAAAAAAAAUGAAGCCUAAGGGUUUACAGUUUACCCAGUUUUUAAAAUAGUGAACAAUUAAAAUGGAAUCUUAACAUCAACAAAGACUCGGUUGUCUUUUUGUGUACACUCAGCCUUAUCAAUAGAAACUUAACUGCUUUCUCAUUUCACUAAGUCAUAGUUCUUUUGACAAUCUGUCAUUUGAUUUUGGGACAUAAACUAUUUUGUUGAGCUUAGAAAAUAACCAAUUACAUACCUGUCACGUGUAUAACCCAACUUAGGUUCAGUAUAAUUAAUAAUAUCUUCUGCUGCCCAGGAUGGUGACUGGUUUCCACAAAGAAUCAUUUGGACUUCUUCAUGGCUGAAGGAACUUAAUUUCUCCAUUGGAAAAACUUUGUUAAAUCCAUCUACAUUAUAAACAGCAAAAAAACAAAAACAAUAAAACACACAACUCAAUUUCUAAGUUAUAAUUUCAAAAUACCAAAUUUCAAAUCAAAAUACCUAAUAUCAACUAAAGGGACAGAAUAUGAAUCAAAUAUUAAUAAAUGUUUGAAAAAAAAACAAAUUAAAAUAGCUUGAAAUCAAAGCUUUUUAGUACAGAAAUUUCAUUUAAUACGCAAAUGUGAACAGAAAUAUUCAGUCACUAUGGUCAGUAGUCAAAUUCUAGUAAUUUCUUAACUAGCUCUUUGUGUCUUAACAAGCUAGCUAAAGCUGUAGUCCCAUGUUCAAAACUAGUAUGUGAUGGGGAUCCCUGGGUGGCUGUGGUUGAGCGUCUGCCUUCAGCCAAGGGCCUGAUCCUGGAGACCCGAGAUCAAUUCCCACAUCGGGCUCCCCUGCAUGGAGCCUGCUUCUCCCUCUGCCUGUGUCUCUACCUCUCUCUCUCUCUCUCUCUCUCUGUGUCUCUCACAAAUAAAUAAAAAUAAAAUCUUUAAAAACAACAACAAAAAACUAGUAUGUGAUGAACAGUCUCUCGUAUUUUGCUUCAAUUUUACCUGGAGAACUUAGGUUCCAACAUGGUUUAAUUCAUCCUGAUCAUGAAAGUGUAAAGUAUGCAACCUUAUAUCCAUGUACAAAUGAAUGAAAUGUAGGCCAAAAAUGAAUCCUCCAUUACUCAGGAGCAACAAGCUGAGGGUAUGCCACAGCUUGAGAAUGUCCCAACCUGUUCCGGGUACUCUGCAGGACCUAACUAUUUGUAAGACAGAAAACCAGAGGGCCAAUCUAGAGAUUACCUGCAAUUCUUGACAAAAGAAGUGCCUUAAUUUCAACUGUCUCAAAGUAAAAGAAUGAUUAAUAAGGUAAAGAGCCCUAAAAUUUACCUCUAAAGGCUUCCAUCUGUUUCUGAAUACCCGUAUGCAUACAAAAGUCAAACAUCAAAUCCACAUACUCUUCUGCAUUAUCCAUUGUUAUCAUCUACAAAGGAAAAUUAGCCAACAUUAUUGUUAAUAUCUAGGAAUAUUUCAGCAGCACCUACUACAACUGGCCUCAGUAAGAGGAUGUUCUGAGCUUACAACUAUAUCAAAAGCAAAAUUUUUAUUACCUCAUCUUCCCCACUUGGCUUGAGAUCCACAGCUGUAAAACCAUAUAUUCUUGAGGAAGGGCAAAACUGGAAAUUUAAACUAGGAAGACAAAAAGGAUUGGAUGAACAUUCAGCUAUCAUUGAUGUUUAAUUUUUUAAAACACCGCUGCCAAAACUAUGAAUCUCCUGCCUCCUCCACAGCCCACCCCUGCACCCUUCCAACAAAAACAGUACACCAGCUCAGAUGUUAAGUAUGAGGCCUUUUGAAUGCAAAAACUCUGCACAAAAACUAUUAGGCCAACUGUUACCAAACCUGUCUUUGCAAAGAUUGCACGAAACCACCACCUUUCCAUAUUGUGCUUCCCCCUUAGGGCACACAAUUAAUAAAGUAAGGGUUUUUGCAAAAAAUUACAGCAGCAACAUCUUUACUUUUUUUUUUUUCCAAGAAGAAUCUAUUGCUUUGCUAAAGUUAUUCAUCCUCUCUCCCUACCCUCAAAUCAAGCCUUCAAUAUAUAAUAACUUAUCAAACAAAACUUCUCAACACUAACAAGAAAGAAAGAAGAAAACAAGACUCAGUCAACCCAAAAUCACAGUAAAACAUACCAAGAGUAUAAUCAUUACAUGUAUACAAAUUAACAGAAUUUUAUUACAAGAUGUGUAGCAUUUGGUUGGCUAAGCCAUUGGGCAUAAGGCCUACAUAUAAAGCACACUAUUUUAAGUUUUGCCAAGUAUACUACAUGUAUUAACUAGCCAUGAUUUCUCAAAAAUAUUUUUGGGUUUGGACUUUCAUAAGAUAUAUACAUUAAUCAUAUUCAAUAAAUCAGAUAAUCUUCCAGAGAUCUAAUGAUUAAAGCAUUAUGUUCUGGUAUUCUGAGUGUGGUCUUUAUAAUAUGAACUAUUCAAAGAUUCAAAUCGGUACUAUUUCCCCCAGCAUAUUAUUGUUCUUAACAGACUAUUUAACUUAUACAUUGCAUAUUAGUGGGUACAAAGAAACAAAAGCUUUAAAAUUUAUUCAUCCAUUAGGUUGAUGAACAUAUAUAUAUAUAUAAAACUUACCCUAAAUCCUCUAUGCUAAGUGGAGGCCCAGAACCUGAUGGAUUCUUUAGCACUAGUUCUUGUAAUUUCGUGUUCUUCUCAUCUUCAGAAAGACCUUUGUUGCUUAAAAUCUGACGCCUCUUGACUGCAAGGUCUUUAAUUUCUUUUAAAAAUCUGGCUCUGUGUGGGUUUACUAGUUCAAAGUCUUCCCAAGUUAAAAUUCCAUUAAACCAAGCUGGGGGUUUGGGUUUGGGGGGAUCUAGAAUAAACUCUGAUUUUGAAUCCUCUUCAAAGCUUCCUACUGAGAGUGAAUCAUGACCUUCUUCUGUAGAAGCUUCAGACUGACUUUCAGUACAAUGUAAGUCUCUAUCACCUCGUGACUCAUAAAUUAAUUUACUCAUGUUGCUUUUAAUAUCACCCAUGCACAUAAGUUUAAAGAAAGGUUUAGAAAUAGGUAAGUCCACAAGUCUAUUGUCUUGAAUGCAUUUGGCCAAGAAAAUUCCAAGGAAAUGAAAGAGUUUCGUGAUCCUUUCAAGCUCAUCACUGUCUUGCGGAAAUGGUGCUGUGAACAGUCCACACGAUCUCUGCACAUAGUAUCCAGGAGGUUUCAAUCCACCUCCAAGAUCAACCUAAUUUUUAGAGGGAGAAAUAUAAAUAAAAUUAGAUAAAAGAUGCAUAAAUAUUAAACAUCUUCAUCAACUUAGUUAUCUUAAAGUAUUUAUAUAUACUCCCUUUUAUUAAAUAGUUUUUGGUGACUGAAUUUUAUCCUUUAAAACCCUUUUAGGAGCAUCAAGAAUCAUCAAUAAUAAUAAGAGAGCCAGAGGAACUCCUAGGUGGCUCAGUCAGUUAAAUGUCUGUCCUGGGAGGGAGCCCCAUGUCCAGCUCCCCACUCAGUGGGGAGUCUGCUUGCUCCCUCUCCCUCUGCCUUUCCCUUUGUGCUCUCUCUCAGAUAAAUGAAAUCUUUAAAAAAUAAACUCAGAAAACUUGGCUUAAAUUCUGAAAGCAUAACCUAUUCUUACUACUAAAAGCAGAAUUACAAAUAAUCACAAAUUGGGAAAUAAAUCUUACAUGACGAGAUUCAUCAUCUGGAAAGUUAUCAUCACAAAGCCAAGCUCCCAAAUCAGUUCUCUGGAAUUCUGCUGCCACCAGAGCAUAAAACUCUAAUGUAGGGCCCAAACCAGUUCCUUCCUCUCCUAAAAAUUCAACCUAAAAUAUAAACAAAUUGUGGGGAAAAUUGAGCUUAAAAAAUUUUUCUCAAAUGAUCUCAUUUUUGCCAAGUAAUACAUCUUUUUCUUACAACAGCAGAAUAUUAUAAACAACACAUUUGUAAACACACAAGUUUUAUUCUAGUUUUUCUAAAGAGUGUAUUUGUUGUAUACCAUUACAUAUUUAAACACUGUGGUAAGCAUUGUUAAUACAUUAAUUUAUUUCUCACACCCCAUCCUACAAAAAUAGAUUUUCCUCUCUUUACACCAAAGGAAACCAAAUUUUAUUUUAUUUUAUUUUAUUUUUUUUAGGAAACCAAAUUUUAGAUAAAAAGGUUACAUCAUUUGCUUGAGGAAAAGACGGCAUACAGAUUUUUAUGUAUGUCUAUAUAACACGUUUAAAACCCAAACUCUUCCACUUAUUCCUGACUUUAGGUAGUCACUUUAAAGCUUUUUAUCAAAAAAAAAUUAAAGAAAUAAAAUUAAAAAAAUAAAGCUUUUUAUCCAUACUCUACAUAUUCCACAAAUGACUUGAGGCAGCUUACAAAAACCUAAUGCAUGGUAAAAAAUAAAUAAAUAAAUAAAUAAUUGAGGUUUAUCUAGUUAGAGGAAUAUAUGGGUAAGAAGAAUAAGAUGAAGGCAGAGAUUAUUAUUAUUAUUAUUAUUAUUAUUAUUAUUUUAUUGGUAAAGAGAGUUUAAAGUGAAAACCCUAAGAGUCUUAUAUAUUUUCUAGAGAUACACCAUAUUUGUCAUGAUCAGUCUCUGAUCAAAAAGAUAAACUAAGCAGCUGGUUCACAUUUAUGACAGGAGACAGAUGUGUUCCAUUGUGCCUAUAAGGAAUAAUGGAUAUAUAGGAUAUAAUGGACAAUGCCUACAAUAACAUCUCUACACUUUAAGAAGGGAAUAUGUCCUUCAAAAAGGCCAAGCACUUUCUCACCUCAAGGACAGAGAUACUCUUUGCUGCCCACCAAACCACAAGAUCCUGACCUCUCUGAAGAAGUUGAAUGUUGUUGAACAUGCAGGUUUGCUGGUUUUCUGUCAUUUGUACACACUAAAAGAAAUUAUAUGCGAGGUACCUCAAGAACUGAUUUCCGGUCUGCAUGAAUUUGCAUGACGUUUUCAGCCCAUUCCAUCAGUGAUUCACCACGUGGAACUUUUACUCUUUCAUGCUUGAGACGACCCACUCGAAACUCUCCAGGAUCAUCUCGCCUUACACUACUGGUGGUUCUUGUUCUUUCCACAGUGGCUUCACGUCGGUUUUGUAACCACACUAUUGCUCUAAAACAGAAAAAUAUUUAUGUAGUUGUAACAUUCAGUAAUAGUUUGAAUGUGCUACUAACCCAGGAACAUAAUUCAAAGAUUUCACUAUUCUUUUAAGUAGUAUUAAGUGAUAAAAUUAGUUGUAAAACAAACAAGUGAUAAAAUUAGUAAAUUCUUUUAUUGCAUAAAUUAUUGCUUCCUCUCUUAAAACAUAUAAAUCCCUUUAUUAAUUUCCUUUUUUUUUUUCCUUUAUUAUUUUCCUAAACAAAUUAAGAAAAUACUUAGGUCUAAAUUUUCCUUACUUUAGUAAUUAACAGAUCAAAAUAAAGGUCCAUGGUCCCAAUCCUACAUAACAUAAAAAUAUAUACAAAUAUAAAAAUAUAUACAAACUUCGGAUGAAAGGAAGAGCAUCAGGAAUACAAUCAGUAGUAUUAUAAUAACACUGUAUAGUUGACAUAUGGUUGCUACAAUUGUGAGCAUAGCAUAAUGUACAGAGUUGCUGAAUCACUGUUGUACACCUGCCAUUAAUGUAACAUGGUAUGUCAACUAUACUUCAAUUAAAAAAUAGACAAAUUUAUGAUACAUAAAAAAUAUAAAUGAAUAUUUCUUAACUAUCAGAGAAACUAAAAAAUGGUUAAGCUAUCUUUGUUACUAUGAUACAAACUGAAAGCCAUCAUUAUAAUGCAAUUGAUUUUAAAAUAUUUUCUUUUGGGGCAGGUGGUUGGCUCAGUUGGUAGAGCAUGAGACUCUUGGUCUCAGUUUGAGCCAUGCUGUAUGGAGAGACUAUUUAAAAAUAAAAUCUUUACGGGUGUCUGGGUGGCUCAGUUGGUUAAGUCCAACUCUUGAUUUUGGCUCAGGUCUUGAUCUUAGGGUUGUGGGAUCGAGCCCCACUUGGGGCUCUG